This 2045-nucleotide small RNA is filed under the name Pan troglodytes (chimpanzee). RNAcentral's name for it is "retained intron". Lineage: Eukaryota; Metazoa; Chordata; Mammalia; Primates; Hominidae. The record is from RNAcentral.
UCUUUUUCUCCCUUAAGUUCCCCUGUUCAAGGCAUACCUUAGAGGUAUGGGCCAGAGAGGACUGGGUCAGAGAGCAGGGAGUGGCUGGGGAGGUAAGGGACAGUGAUGGGCAUUCCUGAGAGAACUGGGUGAUGACAGGGGAAUCUGAAAGGGGAGAAAGAAGCAUCCAAGAGACAGUGAACAUAGCUGGGGGAAUUUUAAGGGUAUGCAUUAAUUAGAGUUUAUAAUAGGCAGGGUGUGCUCUAGCCUAGCGGGCUCUGACCUCCUUCCUGUUCACCUUUGCCUUUGUCCAGGGAGAGUCCUGGCCCAUGCCGACAUCCCAGAGCUGGGCAGUGUGCACUUCGACGAAGACGAGUUCUGGACUGAGGGGACCUACCAUGGGGUGAACCUGCGCAUCAUUGCAGCCCAUGAAGUGGGCCAUGCUCUGGGGCUUGGGCACUCCCGAUAUUCCCAGGCCCUCAUGGCCCCAGUCUACGAGGGCUACCGGCCCCACUUCAAGCUGCACCCAGAUGAUGUGGCAGGGAUCCAGGCUCUCUAUGGCAAGAAGAGUCCAGUGAUAAGGGAUGAGGAAGAAGAAGAAACAGAGCUGCCCACUGUGCCCCCAGAACCCAGUCCCAUGCCAGACCCUUGCAGUAGUGAACUGGAUGCCAUGAUGCUGGGUGAGGCCCCUCCCCUCCAGGCUGUUGGCAGGCGGUGGGGGCAGCCUGCUGAUCCUGAGGCCUGGACAAAUGGGAGUGACAUGGGACUUCAGCAUGAGCAAUGGAGGGCCCCGUGGGAAGACCUAUGCUUUCAAGGGGGACUAUGUGUGGACUGUAUCAGAUUCAGGACCGGGCCCCUUGUUCCGAGUGUCUGCCCUUUGGGAGGGGCUCCCCGGAAACCUGGAUGCUGCUGUCUACUCGCCUCGAACACAAUGGAUUCACUUCUUUAAGGGAGACAAGGUGUGGCGCUACAUUAAUUUCAAGAUGUCUCCUGGCUUCCCCAAGAAGCUGAAUAGGGUAGAACCUAACCUGGAUGCAGCUCUCUAUUGGCCUCUCAACCAAAAGGUGUUCCUCUUUAAGGGCUCCGGGUACUGGCAGUGGGACGAGCUAGCCCGAACUGACUUCAGCAGCUACCCCAAACCAAUCAAGGGUUUGUUUACGGGAGUGCCAAACCAGCCCUCGGCUGCUAUGAGUUGGCAAGAUGGCCGAGUCUACUUCUUCAAGGGCAAAGUCUACUGGCGCCUCAACCAGCAGCUUCGAGUAGAGAAAGGCUAUCCCAGAAAUAUUGCCCACAACUGGAUGCACUGUCGUCCCCAGACUAUAGACACUACCCCAUCAGGUGGGAAUACCACUCCCUCAGGUACGGGCAUAACCUUGGAUACCACUCUCUCAGCCACAGAAACCACAUUUGAAUACUGACUGCUCACCCACAGACACAAUCUUGGACAUUAACCCCUGAGGCUCCACCACCCACCCUUUCAUUCCCCCCCAGAAGCCUAAGGCCUAAUAGCUGAAUGAAAUACCUGUCUGCUCAGUAGAACCUUGCAGGUGCUGUAGCAGGCGCAAGACCAUAGAUCUCAGGCCUCUAACACUUCCAACUCCAGCCACCACUCUCCUGUGCAUUUUCACUCCUGAGAAGUGCUCCCCUAACUCAGAUCCCCUAACUUAGAUUUGGCCCCCAACUCCAUUUCCUGUCUGUCUUAGCCCUUCUAACUCCCCAAUUCCAUUUCCUGUCUGUCUUAGACAGCCCUUCCAACUGUGUCAUCUCUUCUCUGGAGGUCAAUGGUGGAGGGAGAUGCCUGGGUCCUGUUCUUCCUACAUAAAAUGCAAGAAAACAGCAUGGCCAGUAAACUGAGCAAGGGCCUUGGAAUCCUUGAGAAUCACAUUUAUGUGCUUAUGAUUACGGGCAAGCUAAUUAACCUUGUUGAAUCUCAGAUUCCCCAUUUGCAACAUUAGGUUAAGACCAGUACUGCAGGAUUGUUGCACUAAAUGAAAUACUGUAUGUGAAGUGCCUGGCACAGUGUCUGGUACAUUUGUGUUUAAUAAAAGCUAACUCCACGUUCGUAA